Molecule: non-coding RNA, 178 nt
Filed under: Human adenovirus 7
Lineage: Varidnaviria; Bamfordvirae; Preplasmiviricota; Pharingeaviricetes; Rowavirales; Adenoviridae
Also listed under: 2 other names
Source: RNAcentral
UGGCUCGCGCCCGUAGUCUGGAGAAUUAAUCGCCAGGGUUGCGUUGCGGUGUGCCCCGGUUCGAGUCUUAGCGCGCCGGAUCGGCCGGUUUCCGCGACGUUUCUAAGACCCCGUCAGCCGACUUCUCCAGUUUACGGGAGCGAGCCCUCUUUUUUUUUUUUUGUUUUUUGUUGCCCAG